This 472-nucleotide ribosomal RNA is filed under the name uncultured bacterium. RNAcentral describes it as "SSU rRNA". It matches the Rfam family "Bacterial small subunit ribosomal RNA", at positions 26 to 518 of the family's 1533-position model. The record is from RNAcentral.
AGGACGAACGCUGGCGGCGUGCUUAACACAUGCAAGUCGAGCGGAAAGGCCCUUCGGGGUACUCGAGCGGCGAACGGGUGAGUAACACGUGAGUAACCUGCCCCUAGCUCUGGGAUAGCUCCGGGAAACCGGGAUUAAUACCAGAUACGACCACUUUAGACAUCUGUCGUGGUGGAAAGGAUUCCGGCUAGGGAUGGGCUCGCGGCCUAUCAGCUUGUUGGUGGGGUAACGGCCUACCAAGGCGACGACGGGUAGCCGGCCUGAGAGGGCGACCGGCCGACGACUGGGACUGAGACACGGCCCAGACUCCUACGGGAGGCAGCAGUGGGAAUAUUGCGCAAUGGGCGAAAGCCUGACGCAGCGACGCCGCGUGGGGAUGAAGGCCUUCGGGUUGUAAACCCCUUUCAGCAGGGACGAAGCGAAGUGACGGUACUGCAGAAGAAGCGCCGGCUAACUACGUGCCAGCAGCCGC